GACGAACGCUGGCGGCGUGCCUAACACAUGCAAGUCGAGCGGAGUCGAUCGACGGAAGCCUUCGGGCGGAAGAUGGUUGACUUAGCGGCGGAUGGGUGAGUAACGCGUGGGCAACCUGCCUCGAAGACCGGGAUAACAGCCCGAAAGGGCUGCUAAUACCGGAUGUGGUCAAGGAUCCGCAUGGAUUUUUGAUUAAAGGGGAAACCCGUUUCGAGAUGGGCCCGCGUCCUAUCAGCUAGUUGGUGAGGUAAAAGCUCACCAAGGCGACGACGGGUAGCCGGCCUGAGAGGGUGACCGGCCACACUGGAACUGAGACACGGUCCAGACUCCUACGGGGGCAGCAGUGGGGAAUCUUCCACAAUGGGCGAAAGCCUGAUGGACGACGCCGCGUGAGCGAAGAAGGCCUUCGGGUUGUAAAGCUCUGUCUGGAGGGACGAAGGAAGUGACGGUACCUCCGGAGGAAGCCACGGCUAACUACGUG
Molecule: ribosomal RNA, 481 nt
Filed under: uncultured bacterium
Lineage: Bacteria
Description: bacterial SSU rRNA
Rfam family: Bacterial small subunit ribosomal RNA
Source: RNAcentral